RNAcentral lists this ribosomal RNA (406 nucleotides) under uncultured bacterium. RNAcentral describes it as "partial 16S ribosomal RNA". It matches the Rfam family "Bacterial small subunit ribosomal RNA", at positions 30 to 526 of the family's 1533-position model. The record is from RNAcentral.
AUUGAACGCUGGCGGCAGGCUUAACACAUGCAAGUCGAGCGAGCGGCGGACGGGAGAGUAAUGUCUGGGAAACUGCCUGAUGGAGGAGGAUAACUACUGGACACGGUAGCUAAAAACGCAUACCAUCAGAUGUGCCCAUAUGGGAUGAGCUAGUAGGUUGGGUAAUGGCUCACCGAGGCGCCGAUCCCUAGCUGGUCUGAGAGGAUGACCAGCCAAACUGGAACUGAGACACGGGCCAGACUCCUACGGGAGGCAGCAGUGGGGAAUAUUGCACAAUGGGCGCAAGCCUGAUGCAGCCAUGCCGCGGGUGUGAAGAAGGCCUUCGGGUUGUAAAGCACUUUCAGCGAGGAGGCGUUACUCGCAGAAGAAGCACCGGCUAACUCCGUGCCAGCAGCCGCGGUAAUAC